CCUACGGGAGGCAGCAGUGAGGAAUAUUGGUCAAUGGGCGAGAGCCUGAACCAGCCAAGUCGCGUGAAGGAUGACGGCCCUACGGGUUGUAAACUUCUUUUGUCAGGGAGCAAUUGAGUCCACGUGUGGUCUUAGCGAGAGUACCUGAAGAAAAAGCAUCGGCUAACUCCGGGCCAGCAGCCGCGGUAUACGGAGGAUGCGAGCGUUAUCCGGAUUUAUUGGGUUUAAAGGGUGCGUAGGCGGAAUAUUAAGUCAGCGGUAAAAAUUCGGGUCAAAACCCCGUCGUGCCGUUGAAACUGAGUUCUUGAGUGGGCGAGAAGUAUGCGGAAUUCGUGGUGUAGCGGUGAAAUGCAUAGAUAUCACGCAGAACUCCGAUUGCGAAGGCAGCAUAC
Molecule: ribosomal RNA, 392 nt
Filed under: uncultured bacterium
Lineage: Bacteria
Description: partial 16S ribosomal RNA
Rfam family: Bacterial small subunit ribosomal RNA
Source: RNAcentral